This 569-nucleotide long non-coding RNA is filed under the name Prunus persica (peach). RNAcentral's name for it is "long non-coding RNA (PPER_LNC000005)". Lineage: Eukaryota; Viridiplantae; Streptophyta; Magnoliopsida; Rosales; Rosaceae. The record is from RNAcentral.
UUUAAGUAAAAAAAGUUGUGAAAAAAAAUAAAAAAAUGAAUAGUAUUUGUCAUGGCAAAGGGCAACUGCUGGAAACACACUUUGCUGGGGGGCUAGGACAGCCACGAUUCAUGUGAAAUAGUAGCUGCCCUAGGGCUCCUCUUGCCAUGGCAAUGGGCAAGCUGCUAGAAAUGCUCUUAAAGUAAUGGUCGCUGUAAUACAACAGUUGUAUGUAUAGCCACAUAUCCUUUUCUUGCGCAAGUUUUUUUCGUUUCCCAUUGAGUGAGGACAUUCAUCUUAAAGUAAUGGCCGAUGUAAUACAACAGUUGUAUGUAUAGCAACAUAUCCUUUUCUUGCAUAUAUCUGAUGAGGACGGGGAUGAGGAUUCCCAGAAAUUUCAUACUAGGGAUGGGGUGGGGACAGGGAAGGACAUGGGGAACGAAGACGCGGAUGAUAUUGCCAUACCCAACACCUAACCGGCCAGUUGACAUCCCUAAACACAGCACCCGGUACGCCUUCUCAUUUCUCUCAAGCCGCUGCCACCACCCCAAUCACGAUGAGCCAUUUCUAUCUAUCUAUUUAUCUCUCUC